This 120-nucleotide microRNA precursor is filed under the name Glycine max (soybean). RNAcentral describes it as "MIR1520 microRNA precursor family". It matches the Rfam family "MIR1520 microRNA precursor family". The record is from Rfam by way of RNAcentral. Lineage: Eukaryota; Viridiplantae; Streptophyta; Magnoliopsida; Fabales; Fabaceae.
UUCUUAUUGGAUUAUGACUAUCACGUAUCCUAUUCUGAUUGGUUAAUGAAAACAACAAUGCAUUUCAUCUUUCAUGGAGUUUACAUCCAAUCAGAACAGGACACGUGACAGUCAUCAUCC